RNAcentral lists this ribosomal RNA (497 nucleotides) under uncultured bacterium. Its description in RNAcentral is "partial 16S ribosomal RNA". It matches the Rfam family "Bacterial small subunit ribosomal RNA", at positions 28 to 507 of the family's 1533-position model. The record is from RNAcentral.
GAUGGACGCUGGCGGCGUGCCUAAUACAUGCAAGUCGAGCGAACAGACGAGGAGCUUGCUCCUCUGACGUUAGCGGCGGACGGGUGAGUAACACGUGGAUAACCUACCUAUAAGACUGGGAUAACUUCGGGAAACCGGAGCUAAUACCGGAUAAUAUAUUGAACCGCAUGGUUCAAUAGUGAAAGACGGUUUUGCUGUCACUUAUAGAUGGAUCCGCGCCGCAUUAGCUAGUUGGUAAGGUAACGGCUUACCAAGGCAACGAUGCGUAGCCGACCUGAGAGGGUGAUCGGCCACACUGGAACUGAGACAAGGUCCAGACUCCUACGGGAGGCAGCAGUAGGGAAUCUUCCGCAAUGGGCGAAAGCCUGACGGAGCAACGACGCGUGAGUGAUGAAGGUCUUCGGAUCGUAAAACUCUGUUAUUAGGGAAGAACAAAUGUGUAAGUAACUAUGCACGUCUUGACGGUACCUAAUCAGAAAGCCACGGCUAACUACGUG